Molecule: ribosomal RNA, 418 nt
Filed under: uncultured bacterium
Lineage: Bacteria
Description: partial 16S ribosomal RNA
Rfam family: Bacterial small subunit ribosomal RNA
Source: RNAcentral
UGGGGAAUAUUGGACAAUGGGCGCAAGCCUGAUCCAGCCAUGCCGCGUGAGUGAUGAAGGCCUUAGGGUUGUAAAGCUCUUUCGCCGGUGAAGAUAAUGGACGGCUAACCGGAGAAGAAGGCCCCGGCUAACUUCGGUGCCAGCAGCCGCGGUAAUACGAAGGGGGCUAGCGUUGCUCGGAAUCACUGGGCGUAAAGCGCACGUAGGCGGAUUCGUUAAGUCAGGGGUGAAAUCCUGGAGCUCAACUCCAGAACUGCCCUUGAUACUGGCGAUCUCGANUUCGAGAGAGGUUGGUGGAAACUCCGAGUGUAGAGGUGAAAUUCGUAGAUAUUCGGAAGAACACCAGUGGCGAAGGCGGCCAACUGGCUCGAUACUGACGCUGAGGUGCGAAAGCGUGGGGAGCAAAACAGGAUUAGAU